GAAGGGAGCUUGCUCCUGAAUUCAGCGGCGGACGGGUGAGUAAUGCCUAGGAAUCUGCCUGGUAGUGGGGGACAACGUUUCGAAAGGAACGCUAAUACCGCAUACGUCCUACGGGAGAAAGCAGGGGACCUUCGGGCCUUGCGCUAUCAGAUGAGCCUAGGUCGGAUUAGCUAGUUGGUGAGGUAAUGGCUCACCAAGGCGACGAUCCGUAACUGGUCUGAGAGGAUGAUCAGUCACACUGGAACUGAGACACGGUCCAGACUCCUACGGGAGGCAGCAGUGGGGAAUAUUGGACAAUGGGCGAAAGCCUGAUCCAGCCAUGCCGCGUGUGUGAAGAAGGUCUUCGGAUUGUAAAGCACUUUAAGUUGGGAGGAAGGGUUGUAGAUUAAUACUCUGCAAUUUUGACGUUACCGACAGAAUAAGCACCGGCUAACUCUGUGCCAGCAGCCGCGGUAAUACAGAGGGUGCAAGCGUUAAUCGGAAUUACUGGGCGUAAAGCGCGCGUAGGUGGUUCGUUAAGUUGGAUGUGAAAU
This 533-nucleotide ribosomal RNA is filed under the name Pseudomonas sp. M4(2015). RNAcentral's name for it is "bacterial SSU rRNA". It matches the Rfam family "Bacterial small subunit ribosomal RNA", at positions 71 to 600 of the family's 1533-position model. Lineage: Bacteria; Pseudomonadati; Pseudomonadota; Gammaproteobacteria; Pseudomonadales; Pseudomonadaceae. The record is from RNAcentral. RNAcentral also lists the same sequence under 1 other name.